GAUGAACGCUGGCGGCGUGCCUAAUACAUGCAAGUCGAGCGAACAGACGAGGAGCUUGCUCCUCUGACGUUAGCGGCUGACGGGUGAGUAACACGUGGAUAACCUACCUAUAAGACUGGGAUAACUUCGGGAAACCGGAGCUAAUACCGGAUAAUAUAUUGAACCGCAUGGUUCAAUAGUGAAAUACGGUUUUUCUGUCUCUUAUAGAUGGAUCCGCGCCGCAUUGGCUAGUUGGUAGGGUAACGGCUUACCAAGGCAACGAUGCGUAGCCGACCUGAGAGGGUGAUCGGCCACACUGGAACUGAGACACGGUCCAGACUCCUACGGGAGGCAGCAGUAGGGAAUCUUCCGCAAUGGGCGAAAGCCUGACGGAGCAACGCCGCGUGAGUGAUGAAGGUCUUCGGAUCGUAAAACUCUGUUAUUAGGGAAGAACAAAUGUGUAAGUAACUAUGCACGUCUUGACGGUACCUAAUCAGAAAGCCACGGCUAACUACGUG
Molecule: ribosomal RNA, 497 nt
Filed under: uncultured bacterium
Lineage: Bacteria
Description: partial 16S ribosomal RNA
Rfam family: Bacterial small subunit ribosomal RNA
Source: RNAcentral